GUUCUUUAGAUAGCUCAGUUAGUUAGAGCAUGGUGCUGUUAACACCAAAGUUACAGGUUCAAUCCCCACAAAGGACA
This is a non-coding RNA of Podarcis lilfordi (Lilford's wall lizard), 77 nucleotides long. Lineage: Eukaryota; Metazoa; Chordata; Lepidosauria; Squamata; Lacertidae. The record is from the annotation of a GenBank genome assembly.